Long non-coding RNA from Mus musculus (house mouse), 1636 nucleotides. RefSeq annotates it as RIKEN cDNA 5031425F14 gene. NCBI's taxonomy places the organism in Eukaryota, Metazoa, Chordata, Mammalia, Rodentia, Muridae. The record is from RefSeq and is marked validated. The transcript has 3 exons.
AGGAGAGCCACAGACUCCAGAAGCAACACAUGACCAUUGGCCUCCCCAGAACUUCCUGGGACUUGCCUCACACCCUGCUUUCACGCUCUAGGCUCCUUUCUUUCUCUGGUGAUAUUUCCUCCCAAUAACUCUGAGCUGGAGCAGCCCUGAGCUGGAGAGACUCUGAACUGGAGCAGCCCUGAGCUGGAGCAGCCCUAUGCUGGAGGGACCCUGAGCUGGAGCAGCCCUGUGCUGGAGGGACCCUGAGCUGGAGCAGCCCUGUGCUGGAGGGACCCUGAGCUGGAGCAGCCCUGUGCUGGAGGGACCCUGAGCUGGAGCAGCCCUGUGCUGGAGGGACCCUGAGCUGGAGCAGCCCUGUGCUGGAGGGACCCUGAGCUGGAGCAGCCCUGUGCUGGAGGGACCCUGAGCUGGAGCAGCCCUGUGCUGGAGGGACCCUGAGCUGGAGCAGCCCUGUGCUGGAGGGACCCUGAGCUGGAGCAGCCCUGUGCUGGGACCCUGAGCUGGAGCAGCCCUGAGCUGGAGAGACUCUGAAUUGGAGCAGCCCUGAGCUGGAGAGACUCUGAGCUGGAACAGCCCUAUGCUGGAGGGACCCUGAGCUGGAGCAGCCCUGUGCUGGAGGGACCCUGAGCUGGAGCAGCCCUGUGCUGGAGGGACCCUGAGCUGGAGCAGCCCUGUGCUGGAGGGACCCUGAGCUGGAGCAGCCUUGUGCUGGAGAGACCCCGAGCUGGAACAGCCCCGAGCUGGAACAGUCCCGAGCUGCCUCUCUUGUUAGGAGUGAGCUGGUUUAUCUGUGGGUCACGGAGGUGUACUGAGCUCCAUCUGCAGAUCAGUUAAUCGCUAACAAAUGUGGGCGAGUUUUCACCCAGCACAGACCACAGGCCGUGUCUCAGACGCUUUGCCAAGCCAUUUUGGAGCUGUAAGCAACUGGCCUGCUUCCAAGCUGAAUCUGUUCUGGCACACAGAGGCCAUGAGCCUGUGAAGCUCUGACUCUGGCACUGGGAUUGGGUUCGUGAGGAAUCAUGAGCCAUGAGAUGGCCUCCAGUCGGUCAGCAGGGCAGGAAGGGACUAGGACUCAGGAUUAGGGGCCGAGUCAUCACUGACCUUCACAGCGACCUCUGCACUGGCAGAGGUGGGAAGUGGGGUUUUCAGAACGCCUGCUUCGGUUGCUGGGCACUCUGCUUGGUUAGAGAGAUGGUGCUUCCGGAUUUCUGCUUGAAUGGUUUCCUCUACUCCCAUCCCUGAGUGCUCUCCCUGCCUGCGACCCACCUCUCAACACAUCCACUCAGGACAAGAUGGAUGAGGAUGAGACUAAUAGCUUCCAGGUGUGGCCUGGCUUCUGGGGUCUCCAUGUUCAUAUUGGGGCAUUAAUAAGCUUCUGCAUCGAGAGUGGUCUAGCUCAGCAUAGUCCAGACUGUAGUCCACAGAUGUGAGAGGCACCGAGACAAGAGGCCUUCAGCUCCAGUUAUAAGACUGUGCUUUGUUACGAGCAGAGCAGACGCUGUCUGUGGGGACCCUAGUUCUGGACUCUCAUCAGGACGUUGGCAUCAGUGAACGCAUCUCAGACCUUUACUGAGGUAGUCACCGUUUUAAUCUGUCGGUCGUGAUUACAGUUGACAGACUCAAAAUAAAAAUUAAG